This 255-nucleotide ribosomal RNA is filed under the name uncultured bacterium. RNAcentral describes it as "partial 16S ribosomal RNA". It matches the Rfam family "Bacterial small subunit ribosomal RNA", at positions 524 to 776 of the family's 1533-position model. The record is from RNAcentral.
GACAGAGGGGGCAAGCGUUGCUCGGAAUUACUGGGCGUAAAGCGUGCGCAGGCGGUUUUGUAAGUCUGUCGUGAAAGCCCCGGGCUCAACCUGGGAAUUGCGAUGGAGACUGCAAGGCUUGAAUCUGGCAGAGGGGGGUAGAAAUUCCACGUGUAGCAGUGAAAUGCGUAGAGAUGUGGAGGAACACCGAUGGCGAAGGCAGCCCCCUGGGUCAAGAUUGACGCUCAUGCACGAAAGCGUGGGGGAGCAAACAGG